Molecule: long non-coding RNA, 2926 nt
Organism: Oncorhynchus tshawytscha (Chinook salmon)
Lineage: Eukaryota; Metazoa; Chordata; Actinopteri; Salmoniformes; Salmonidae
Source: Ensembl
AUUUUUUCGAUCAUUGAUUCCAUGGCCAAAUUUCAACUGAUAUACAUUCUCAAUUAUAAUAAGUAAGCAUUAUAUUACAGUUAUCACAAGACUUGUCUGAAGGUCCCAUGGUACCAGUUGAAAGAAACGAACGGAGGUAUGGAGACUGUUUAGUGACAAGAAUAAGGGGUUAAAUACAUGUAAAAAAUCCUGAUCUUUCAUAAAUCUCUCAGAUAUUGGACAGACACUUCAGAACAAACUUCCUUUUGAUCUGUUGUUCCGUGUAGUGAAUCUAUUAUUCGAUGCAUUUGAAUAUGCUAAUAGCAGUAAGGUCCCCCAAAAAAUUCAUCCAAUCAUAUUUUUCUUCUGUUUUUUUUUUUAUUCUUCAAGGGGUCUUAAAAUUCAAAAAUCAAACAGCCAAAUGAUCCUUAGUAGAACCCCCACCCUCUGGCUUAGACAGGUUUUAAUAGGAAAGAGGAACCAAUUGUAGAUCGCAACAAAAUAUUUAUCUAUCACAUGCAGUAAGUUCCUCUGGAUAAGAGCGUCUGCUGAAUGACCAAAAUGUAAAUGUAAAAACAAAAACACUUGCAAAGCAUUCUGGAUAUUAUUCUAAUGAGCUCCGCCCCCAAACAAGUACAAAUUUGGCCGGUGCGGACCAGAUCCAAAUCUGAACGAAUCAUAGACGUCUAGGCUGUUUCACAAGUUUGAACAUCACAGUACAGUACGGCACAGUUUAGCACAGUAGAGUACGGUAGUUUUAUUCAGUCGAGUACAAUACAGUAGAGUUGAAUUAGAGUAGAGUACAGUAAUUCAGUACAUUAGAGUACACUACAGUAAAGUAUAGUUUAAUUCAGUACAAUACAUGUUAAUUCAGUAGAGUACAGUACAGUAUAGUUUAAUUCAGUAGAGUACAUGUUAAUUCAGUACAGUACAGUAUAGUUUAAUUCAGUAGAGUACAAUAGAGUACACUAUACUUUACUGUACUAAGUUACUGUACACUGCUGUCCAAACCUGUGAAACAUAGAUGUCUAUGAUUGGUUCAGAUUUGGUCCGGACCAAAAUUCAACAUCCCUGGGGGAUGAAAUUUAAAAAAUAUUUUUGAAAGACUGAGGACCGAAAAGAGAUGUCCAGAAGACAUCAAAACGCUUACUGGGAUGCUGUUUUAAGGGCAGUGGGGAUACAGGCCUAACAGUCAUAUUAUGCCAAUAAGUCCCUCCAAUGAUCUACUCUACUUAACCUAUACAGGUGCUCAUUCUCACAUAACCUACAGCAUACACAUUCACUAAGUUUAAUUCUCAUUGAUGGCAUGGCAGUAUUGAUCAAUCCAGAUCGGAGAUCUACCUGUAUCCCCCAUAUAAAAAGGUACUGUCCAUCUUGACUGUCUCCCAAACAAAAUCAACAAUAACCACAAACAUUCAUCCCACCACUCAAAAAUCACAAACCACCACUCCCCUUCCAGUAUCCUGAAGAAUACGUUUCCAUCCCCUACUUUCUCAUUUUAAUCAAGGACCCUUACCAUAAACCUGGUUGGUAGUUGGUAUCUUCUACCCAACCCUACCCUUUAAACCUAAACCAGGAUCAUAUCCUCUACCCAACCCUUCCCCUUGAACCAGGAUCAUAUCCUCUAUCCAACCCUUCCCCUUGAACCAGGAUCAUAUCCUCUACCCAACCCUUCCCCUUGAACCAGGUUAAUAUCCUCUAUCCAACCCUUCCCUUUAAACCAGGAUCAUAUCCUCUAUCCAACCCUUCCCUUUAAACCAGGUUAAUAUCCUCUAUCCAACCCUUCCCUUUAAACCAGGUUAAUAUCCUCUAUCCAACCCUUUAUUUUAUUUUAUAUUUUUUUUACUUUUACUUCUUUACAUUUUUUAAUCCAUUAAAGUUUGUUUUAAUCAAAUCAAAUCAAGUCGAAGUAUAAAAAUGAGAACUCCAUCACCCUUGUACCGUUACCUUGCCAAAACCUUCACCAUACAUGCAGAAGAGGGUUAGAAGAGGAAGUCCUGAGGUGUCCCUGCCAGUCCCAGAGCUCUCAACUGUCUCCCUACUCCAUUAGUCUCUGUCAUCAAACACGUUUAGAUUGUUGUUUUUUGUUGACAUUUUGACAGUAUAUCAAUAUGUCCCCUCUAAAAGAUACAAAGGACAAGGUCAAAGGACAUACGGGGUUGCCCGAGUCCCUGAAACCGCCAACGUCUCACCUCUCUCCGGAACGCUGCGGUCGCACACCUAAAACCAAUCCCGGAGACAGUCUGGACAGCCUAUGCUACUGCUCUGGUGUUGCAUCGCUAUUUCGGUAUAUAUUAUAUCUAUUUAUAACAAGGCACGGUAUCAUUCGACAAUUUUAUAUCAUGGCUACAGACGGAGUUGACAACCACCACUAACGUUAGGCAAAUCAAGUCAAUAAGCUACACAGCGGACGUUUAUAAAAGGUACCCACGUGUAUGGUCGCUGUCUUCCUCUGGCGGUGCGCUACAACAUGCCACAAAGAUAAUAUAUAGGUGCUCCAACACGCACUGGAAAAUUAUAUCAACAUCUUUGUUUCAAUCCUUCUUGGUUAAUAGAAAGUUGGCAAAGGUAGACAGUAACACUGAAGCUGUCCCGAAAGGGUCCGUGUCUGUCUGAGUAUGCGAGUGGAGUACGGAUGUGUAAACGGAGCCGACUCCGAGGAUGUCACGACUCGUGGAUGUUUCCUCUUGUUGACUUGAGUUCGCAGCGCCAGCUGCAACUGUAUCUAGUCGAGUCCGCGUAACACAAGCGUCUGCAAGUGUCUGUGGAAUGUGUGUAGACUAGAGUGUGUGUGUUUGUGCGCGCACCGUAGUAUUUCCACCGGUCUGUCUGUGCUGAGAGUGCAUGGAGAAACUGCUAAACGAGAGACUGUCCCACGCUAUGAGUUCUGGAGCUGUGCCAGUGCCAAGAUGAGUUAGUAGACAACCGGUUUUAAAUCUGCAGUCUG